Molecule: small RNA, 890 nt
Filed under: Pongo abelii (Sumatran orangutan)
Lineage: Eukaryota; Metazoa; Chordata; Mammalia; Primates; Hominidae
Description: retained intron
Source: RNAcentral
AUGGGAGAAAAGCGAUGAGAAGAUGUGAAGGACUCAUUGACUCACUGGUCCAUUAUGUCAGAGGAACCAUUGCAGAUUACCAGCCAGAUGACAAGGCCACGGAGAAUUGUGUGUGCAUUCUUCAUAACCUCUCCUACCAGCUGGAGGCAGAGCUCCCGGAGAAAUAUUCCCAGAAUAUCUAUAUUCAAAACCGGAAUAUCCAGACUGACAACAACAAAAGUAUUGGAUGUUUUGGCAGUCGAAGCAGGAAAGUAAAAGAGCAAUACCAGGACAUGCCGAUGCCAGAGGAAAAGAGCAACCCCAAGGGCGUGGAGUGGCUGUGGCACUCCAUCGUGAUAAGGAUGUAUCUGUCCUUGAUCGCCAAGAGUGUCCGCAACUACACACAGGAAGCAUCCUUAGGAGCUCUGCAGAACCUCACGGCCGGAAGUGGACCAGUGAGUAUUGGGCCUGAUUUCCUACUUUUUAAAAUAAUGAUAUUGUAGACAUACCUACAUUCGAUUCAGAGAUGAAACAGUGAGGGAAGGGAAAAACGUUUCUUAUUUUAGUCAAGACAAUUCUCAGAAAUUACAGAAGGUUUUGGUCUCAGCUUAUGCAAAGUCAAGUCAGGCUGCUAUUGGUCAGUACUCUUUCAGUUACAGAUCUCAGAAUCCUGCCUCAAGCUGGUUUAAGCAAAAAAGAGGAAAUUUUUGGCUUAUGGCACUGAAAAGUCCAGGGUGGGCCUUCUUUCUGUCAUGACUGGACUUAGGUGCACCAGUGAUUACAGUUGAUUUUCUUCAUCUCCGGGCUUGGUUUUCCUCUGCUGGUUUUGUUCUCAAAGGCUCUCUCCAUAGGGUAACAAAGACAGCCAUGAAUUAUUUCAGGCUCACGUUUUAUCAGCCCAAUGUGUCCUC